AUUACCACUCGUACCCACCGGUUCCUGCGAGCCACCCGCACUCGCCUGACGACCGCUCGCGACGUUUUGUUAGCU
RNAcentral lists this small RNA (75 nucleotides) under Xanthomonas arboricola. RNAcentral describes it as "sRNA sX9". It matches the Rfam family "Xanthomonas sRNA sX9". Lineage: Bacteria; Pseudomonadati; Pseudomonadota; Gammaproteobacteria; Lysobacterales; Lysobacteraceae. The record is from RNAcentral.